AUACAGAGGGUGCAAGCGUUAAUCGGAAUUACUGGGCGUAAAGCGCGCGUAGGUGGUUUGUUAAGUUGAAUGUGAAAUCCCCGGGCUCAACCUGGGAACUGCAUCCAAAACUGGCAAGCUAGAGUAUGGUAGAGGGUAGUGGAAUUUCCUGUGUAGCGGUGAAAUGCGUAGAUAUAGGAAGGAACACCAGUGGCGAAGGCGACUACCUGGACUGAUACUGACACUGAGGUGCGAAAGCGUGGGGAGC
RNAcentral lists this ribosomal RNA (247 nucleotides) under uncultured bacterium. RNAcentral describes it as "partial 16S ribosomal RNA". It matches the Rfam family "Bacterial small subunit ribosomal RNA", at positions 523 to 769 of the family's 1533-position model. The record is from RNAcentral.